ACUAUAGUGUGAUAAACUCUUGGAAAAUGUUCAUUUUAUAAAAUAAAAAAAGAAAAUAUUAGAGAGCGCACAACGUCUCGCAUUGUCUCUUUUCCCCUUCGUCACCUUCUUCGUUCAUCUCAGCGACCACCACUCCUCUUUCUUUACUCUCGUCACGAGAGGCGUUUGCUUGGAGAAGCUUGCCUUUAGACAUUAAAAUUGGCGACAGCAUUCCUGGCGGAGCAACAAAUUUGGAUGGUAGGAUAAUUGUAAAGGCUACAAAAGCGUGGAAUGAUUCAACACUCAACAAGAUAGUGCAAUUGACUGAAGAAGCACGCUUGAAUAAACCAAAGCUUCAAAGGUGGCUUGACCAAUUUGGUGAGCAAUACAGCAAGGUUGUUGUAGUCUUGUCUGUAGCUAUUCCUCUCAUUGUUCCAUUUCUCUUCAAGUGGCCAUUCUUUGGAACAUCAGCCAUUAUUCGUAGGAUUGAUGUGGAGUCAUACACUUCUGUACACACUCUGAAUAUGUUUUCUCCAAUGAUAGAGCAGGCUUAGUUUGAGCUGGGUUUCAUCUGGGAUGUUUGAGAUAUUUCAUGGGAUUGAGCUUAAAAGAGACAUUGGUUAUGAUGAAAGAGGACAAAGACUCAUCAGGUACAUUAUGGAAGUGUAGCAAUCCAAUAAAUCAUCUCAAGCAGGUAUUUACAGAUUUUUUUUUUAACUUAACCAAUCUAUUGCUAUUUUGUUUUUACUGGCAUACGUAAUUAAUUUUAUUUAAUUAGUGAUAAAUGCUUUAGUUGUUAUGGAUCUUAUUGUUUUUAUUAUGGUAAUAAACUAUACCCUCUUGUUUCUUUUACCAUUAGCAUAUUACACUUUAUUUACUUUUCUUGUAAGUUUUGAUGGAAAAAUAGGUUAAAUAUGUUAUGAUAAACCUAUACAAAAGAAUAUUUGGGAAGAUUUUUUUUUUCUUUGAAAGAGUGGAGAAGGUAAUUUUAUUUAAAAUAAAAAUUGCAGUUUCUAACUUAGGCACAUGUUUCAAUUCAAAUUAACGCACACACACACACAUAUA
Molecule: long non-coding RNA, 1044 nt
Organism: Cannabis sativa
Lineage: Eukaryota; Viridiplantae; Streptophyta; Magnoliopsida; Rosales; Cannabaceae
Exons: 5
Source: RefSeq, a predicted model, not a curated record